Molecule: ribosomal RNA, 25 nt
Filed under: Solanum lycopersicoides
Lineage: Eukaryota; Viridiplantae; Streptophyta; Magnoliopsida; Solanales; Solanaceae
Also listed under: 1 other name
Description: partial 25S ribosomal RNA
Source: RNAcentral
CAUCCCUUUGUCACUCCGAUUCGUC